Molecule: ribosomal RNA, 167 nt
Filed under: uncultured bacterium
Lineage: Bacteria
Description: partial 16S rRNA
Rfam family: Bacterial small subunit ribosomal RNA
Source: RNAcentral
UAGGGAAUCUUCGGCAAUGGACGAAAGUCUGACCGAGCAACGCCGCGUGAGUGAAGAAGGUUUUUCGGAUCGUAAAAACUCUGUUGUUAGAGAAGAACGACGAGGAGAGUGGAAAAGCUCCUGUGUGACGGUAUCUAACCAGAAAGGGACGGCUAACUACGUGCCAC